Molecule: ribosomal RNA, 253 nt
Filed under: uncultured bacterium
Lineage: Bacteria
Description: partial 16S ribosomal RNA
Rfam family: Bacterial small subunit ribosomal RNA
Source: RNAcentral
UACGUAGGGUGCAAGCGUUAAUCGGAAUUACUGGGCGUAAAGCGUGCGCAGGCGGUUAUGUAAGACAGGUGUGAAAUCCCCGGGCUAACCUGGGAACUGCAUUUGUGACUGCAUAGCUAGAGUACGGUAGAGGGGGAUGGAAUUCCGCGUGUAGCAGUGAAAUGCGUAGAUAUGACGGAGGAACACCGAUGGCGAAGGCAAUCCCCUGGGCCUGCACUGACGCUCAUGCACGAAAGCGUGGGGAGCAAACAGG